GACGAACGCUGGCGGCGUGCUUAACACAUGCAAGUCGAACGGAAAGGCCCUGCUUUUGUGGGGUGCUCGAGUGGCGAACGGGUGAGUAACACGUGAGUAACCUGCCCUUGACUUUGGGAUAACUUCGGGAAACUGGGGCUAAUACCGGAUAGGAGCUCCUGCUGCAUGGUGGGGGUUGGAAAGUUUCGGCGGUUGGGGACGGACUCGCGGCUUAUCAGCUUGUUGGUGGGGUAGUGGCUUACCAAGGCUUUGACGGGUAGCCGGCCUGAGAGGGUGACCGGCCACAUUGGGACUGAGAUACGGCCCAGACCCCUACGGGAGGCAGCAGUGGGGAAUAUUGCACAAUGGGCGGAAGCCUGAUGCAGCAACGCCGCGUGCGGGAUGACGGCCUUCGGGUUGUAAACCGCUUUCGCCUGUGACGAAGCGUGAGUGACGGUAAUGGGUAAAGAAGCACCGGCUAACUACGUG
RNAcentral lists this ribosomal RNA (468 nucleotides) under uncultured bacterium. Its description in RNAcentral is "partial 16S ribosomal RNA". It matches the Rfam family "Bacterial small subunit ribosomal RNA", at positions 28 to 507 of the family's 1533-position model. The record is from RNAcentral.